AGUCAGGGCAACUCGAUGGAGCCGAUUAUUCACUGGCUGGAUGCCCUGCCUGAUGCCUAUGUGGAGUUUGCAGCAGGUAUUUUUUCCUUCCAUCCU
This is a non-coding RNA of Notechis scutatus (mainland tiger snake), 96 nucleotides long. The record is from RefSeq and is a predicted model, not a curated record. NCBI's taxonomy places the organism in Eukaryota, Metazoa, Chordata, Lepidosauria, Squamata, Elapidae.